AAAAAGUCCUUUAAACAC
RNAcentral lists this transfer RNA (18 nucleotides) under Rhinella marina (marine toad). RNAcentral describes it as "partial tRNA-Phe". The record is from RNAcentral. Lineage: Eukaryota; Metazoa; Chordata; Amphibia; Anura; Bufonidae.